UACGGAGGGAGCUAGCGUUGUUCGGAAUUACUGGGCGUAAAGCGCACGUAGGCGGCUUUUUAAGUCAGGGGUGAAAUCCCGGGGCUCAACCCCGGAACUGCCCUUGAAACUGGAGAGCUAGAAUCUUGGAGGGGCGAGUGGAAUUCCGAGUGUAGAGGUGAAAUUCGUAGAUAUUCGGAAGAACACCAGUGGCGAAGGCGACUCGCUGGACAAGUAUUGACGCUGAGGUGCGAAAGCGUGGGGAGCAAACAGG
RNAcentral lists this ribosomal RNA (253 nucleotides) under uncultured bacterium. RNAcentral's name for it is "partial 16S ribosomal RNA". It matches the Rfam family "Bacterial small subunit ribosomal RNA", at positions 524 to 776 of the family's 1533-position model. The record is from RNAcentral.